This 460-nucleotide ribosomal RNA is filed under the name uncultured bacterium. RNAcentral describes it as "partial 16S ribosomal RNA". It matches the Rfam family "Bacterial small subunit ribosomal RNA", at positions 338 to 795 of the family's 1533-position model. The record is from RNAcentral.
CCUACGGGUGGCAGCAGUGAGGAAUAUUGGUCAAUGGACGAGAGUCUGAACCAGCCAAGUAGCGUGAAGGAUGACUGCCCUAUGGGUUGUAAACUUCUUUUAUAUGGGAAUAAAACAGGGUAUGCAUACCCUUUUGUAUGUACCAUAUGAAUAAGGAUCGGCUAACUCCGUGCCAGCAGCCGCGGGAAUACGGAGGAUCCGACCGUUCUCCGGAUUUAUUGGGUUUAAAGGGAGCGUAGGUGGAUUGUUAAGUCAGGUGUGAAAGUUUGCGGCUCAACCGUAAAAUUGCAGUUGAAACUGGCAGUCUUGAGUACAGUAGAGGUGGGCGGAAUUCGAGGUGUAGCGGUGAAAUGCUUAGAUAUAACGAAGAACUCCGAUUGCGAAGGCAGCUUACUGGACUGCAACUGACACUGAUGCUCGAAAGUGUGGGUAUCAAACAGGAUUAGAUACCCUAGUAGUC